This is a transfer RNA of Halanaeroarchaeum sulfurireducens, 73 nucleotides long. It matches the Rfam family "tRNA". From Rfam's summary of the family: Transfer RNA (tRNA) molecules are approximately 80 nucleotides in length. The record is from Rfam. NCBI's taxonomy places the organism in Archaea, Methanobacteriati, Methanobacteriota, Halobacteria, Halobacteriales, Halobacteriaceae.
AGUCCCGUGGUGUAGUGGCCAAUCAUAGCGGCCUUUGGAGCCGCUGACGGCGGUUCGAAUCCGCCCGGGACUA